UGCAAGUCGAGCGGAAACGAGUUAUCUGAACCUUCGGGGAACGAUAACGGCGUCGAGCGGCGGACGGGUGAGUAAUGCCUAGGAAAUUGCCUUGAUGUGGGGGAUAACCAUUGGAAACGAUGGCUAAUACCGCAURAUGCCUACGGGCCAAAGAGGGGGACCUUCGGGCCUCUCGCGUCAAGAUAUGCCUAGGUGGGAUUAGCUAGUUGGUGAGGUAAUGGCUCACCAAGGCGACGAUCCCUAGCUGGUCUGAGAGGAUGAUCAGCCACACUGGAACUGAGACACGGUCCAGACUCCUACGGGAGGCAGCAGUGGGGAAUAUUGCACAAUGGGCGCAAGCCUGAUGCAGCCAUGCCGCGUGUAUGAAGAAGGCCUUCGGGUUGUAAAGUACUUUCAGCAGUGAGGAAGGGGAUGUCGUUAAUAGCGGCAUCUCUUGACGUUAGCUGCAGAAGAAGCACCGGCUAACUCCGUGCCAGCAGCCGCGGUAAUACGGAGGGUGCGAGCGUUAAUCGGAAUUACUGGGCGUAAAGCGCAUGCAGGUGGUUUGUUAAGUCAGAUGUGAAAGCCCGGGGCUCAACCUCGGAACUGCAUUUGAAACUGGCAAACUAGAGUACUGUAGA
RNAcentral lists this ribosomal RNA (620 nucleotides) under bacterium HB-MBA-3. RNAcentral's name for it is "bacterial SSU rRNA". It matches the Rfam family "Bacterial small subunit ribosomal RNA", at positions 56 to 655 of the family's 1533-position model. The record is from RNAcentral.